This 1357-nucleotide ribosomal RNA is filed under the name uncultured bacterium. RNAcentral describes it as "bacterial SSU rRNA". It matches the Rfam family "Bacterial small subunit ribosomal RNA", at positions 28 to 1381 of the family's 1533-position model. The record is from RNAcentral.
GAUGAACGCUAGCUACAGGCUUAACACAUGCAAGUCGAGGGGCAGCAUGAACUUAGCUUGCUAAGUUUGAUGGCGACCGGCGCACGGGUGAGUAACACGUAUCCAACCUGCCGAUGACUCGGGGAUAGCCUUUCGAAAGAAAGAUUAAUACCCGAUGGCAUAGUUCUUCCGCAUGGUAGAACUAUUAAAGAAUUUCGGUCAUCGAUGGGGAUGCGUUCCAUUAGGUUGUUGGCGGGGUAACGGCCCACCAAGCCUUCGAUGGAUAGGGGUUCUGAGAGGAAGGUCCCCCACAUUGGAACUGAGACACGGUCCAAACUCCUACGGGAGGCAGCAGUGAGGAAUAUUGGUCAAUGGACGAGAGUCUGAACCAGCCAAGUAGCGUGAAGGAUGACUGCCCUAUGGGUUGUAAACUUCUUUUAUACGGGAAUAAAGUGAGGCACGUGUGCCUUUUUGUAUGUACCGUAUGAAUAAGGAUCGGCUAACUCCGUGCCAGCAGCCGCGGUAAUACGGAGGAUCCGAGCGUUAUCCGGAUUUAUUGGGUUUAAAGGGAGCGUAGGCGGACGCUUAAGUCAGUUGUGAAAGUUUGCGGCUCAACCGUAAAAUUGCAGUUGAUACUGGGUGUCUUGAGUACAGUAGAGGCAGGCGGAAUUCGUGGUGUAGCGGUGAAAUGCUUAGAUAUCACGAAGAACUCCGAUUGCGAAGGCAGCCUGCUGGACUGUAACUGACGCUGAUGCUCGAAAGUGUGGGUAUCAAACAGGAUUAGAUACCCUGGUAGUCCACACAGUAAACGAUGAAUACUCGCUGUUUGCGAUAUACAGUAAGCGGCCAAGCGAAAGCGUUAAGUAUUCCACCUGGGGAGUACGCCGGCAACGGUGAAACUCAAAGGAAUUGACGGGGGCCCGCACAAGCGGAGGAACAUGUGGUUUAAUUCGAUGAUACGCGAGGAACCUUACCCGGGCUUGAAUUGCAACUGAAUGAUGUGGAGACAUGUCAGCCGCAAGGCAGUUGUGAAGGUGCUGCAUGGUUGUCGUCAGCUCGUGCCGUGAGGUGUCGGCUUAAGUGCCAUAACGAGCGCAACCCUUAUCGAUAGUUACCAUCAGGUGAUGCUGGGGACUCUGUCGAGACUGCCGUCGUAAGAUGUGAGGAAGGUGGGGAUGACGUCAAAUCAGCACGGCCCUUACGUCCGGGGCUACACACGUGUUACAAUGGGGGGUACAGAAGGCAGCUACACGGCGACGUGAUGCUAAUCCCGAAAGCCUCUCUCAGUUCGGAUUGGAGUCUGCAACCCGACUCCAUGAAGCUGGAUUCGCUAGUAAUCGCGCAUCAGCCACGGCGCGGUGAAUACGUUCCCGGGCCU